Molecule: long non-coding RNA, 1002 nt
Organism: Etheostoma spectabile (orangethroat darter)
Lineage: Eukaryota; Metazoa; Chordata; Actinopteri; Perciformes; Percidae
Exons: 3
Source: RefSeq, a predicted model, not a curated record
AACUCGUGGUAAUAAUAAGGCAGAACGCUCGCGCUAACAGCAGGGUGUUGAACGCACCACAGUUUCAGUAAAAAACAAAAACAAAAACGUGUUGUUACGUUUUGUCGAGGCUGAACGUGGCCCUGGACAAUGUGAUGUAUGACGUGUAAAGCCCCGCCAUUUCUGGAACUAAAGGGGAUUGUUAUGCGUUGCUCCCAGGUUGUGACCUUUCUUAACUGCAUAUGGUUGUGACCCAUGGGUGAUAUUUGAAUUAUCAUAACCAGGGUUAUAUAGCUACCCAUGUUGACUGGCUUGGUUUGAAUUUCCAAAAGAAGGGUUGAUAGGCCUACUGGUCUGACAACCCUGGUCAGCGGUGUAAAAGGGGCAAUCCUAUUGGAGUCACGUCCAAAGCGAAGACGGGUGAAGGGGCACUAAAGUAGUAGCAAAAUAUCAAACUAUUUGAAUUGUGAAGCCAGUCAUAGCCUACUCUGGACUCUCAACAAACCGUAAGACAGUUAACAACGUGAUUUAAAUAAAGCAACCGUUUUCAAGUGUUGCUAAUGAUAUAAACCGCUUUGUUUUUGUAGGAAGAAUGUAGCAAGCUAGCAGCGAUGGAGGGAGGUGAUAACUUCUGGUGCAGAGGGAUAUACCAUGACAUGGAUAUUGACAAAGGCACCUCCAUAAAAGACAGGAGAAUAAAGAGCUUCAACGUCAAAUAACAUAUAUCCCACACGAACGGAUUGAAGAGAUGAUCCUAGAGGUGGCAUCUCAAAUUCGAGGAGUUAAGAGUGAACAAGAAAGGUGACAGCACAGAUCCCUGAGUCAACCCUUGGGCCAGACAGAGGCCGUACCCUCCCUUGCGGCUCCACAACCACCUUGUGAGGAGACGCGAUGACCAUGAAAUCCUUAUCUCCCUCACUUCAGCACAAGCAGAUAUUGCUACACAGCGGCAUGGCUGCUACAGUAAAGUAAGUAGCAGUCGGAGUUUAUCUGUCUCCAAAGGGAUGAAUAAACUGGUUUGGU